UUUGGGGGCUCAGCCCCUCCCCCCAUUUGCCGUAGCCCCGCCCACUCCCCCAAGCCCCGCCCACUCCACGAGGCCACGCCCCUUUUCUGAUCCGCUCUUUUUAUUGGUUCACAUCCGACGUCAAUCAAAGGGGGGCGGGGUCAAAGGGGGAAUUUGGGGCCAUUUUGGGGCAAUUUUGGGUGAAUUUGGGGCCAUUUUGGGUGAAUUUUUCCCAUUUUCGAUGAAUUUGGGGCCAUUUUCGAUGAAUUUUCUCCAUUUCGAGUAAAUUUGGGGGCAUUUUGGGUCAUUUUUCCCCAUUUUCGAUGAAUUUGGGGUCAUUUCGGGUGAAUUUGGGGCAGAACUGGAACAAUUUUGGGGGAAUUUUCUCAAUUUUCGAUGAAUUUGGGGCCAUUUCCAUUCGAUUUUGCUCAAACGUCGUUUUUUUGUCGUUCCCGGGGUUAUCCGGGUGUUUUUUUGGGUCGAUUCCGGCUGGUUUUGGGUCAAUUCCAGCUGUUUUUGGGUCAAUUCCAGCUAUUUUCGGGUCAAUUCCGGCUGUUUUUGGGUCAAUUCCAGCUGUUUUCAGGUGGAUUCCAGCUGUUUUUGGGGUUAUCCAGCUGUUUUCGGGUCAAUUCCGGCUGUUUUUGGGGUGAUUCCGGCUGGUUUUGGGGUUAUCCAGCUGUUUUGGGUUGAUUCCAGCUGUUUUCAGGUGGAUUCCGGCUGUUUUCAGGUGGAUUCCGGCUGUUUUUGGGGUUAUCCAGCUGUUUUCAGGGUUAUCCAGCUGUUUUCAGGUUGAUUCCGGCUGUUUUCAGGUGGAUUCCGGCUGUUUUUGGGGUGAUUCCGGCUGUUUUCGGGUGGAUUCCAGCUGUUUUCGGGUCAAUUCCAGCUGUUUUGGGGUCAAUUCCGGCUGUUUUGGGGUCCAUUCCGGCUGUUUUUGGGGUUAUCCAGCUGUUUUCGGGGUGAUUCCAGCUGUUUUUCAGGGCGGGGGCAGGGCCAGCAGCGGGGGCAGCAGCUCCUGGGGGUCCCCGCGCCCCCCGCCCGCCUCGGCCGAGUGUUUGCAUUUCUCGGAGCCGCACUGGCACGGG
Molecule: long non-coding RNA, 1061 nt
Organism: Poecile atricapillus (Black-capped chickadee)
Lineage: Eukaryota; Metazoa; Chordata; Aves; Passeriformes; Paridae
Exons: 4
Source: RefSeq, a predicted model, not a curated record